ACUUAGCCCUGAUGGGAGUGGAAAUACUUAUGAAGUGGCCUUGUCUUUUUUUCUUGACUUAUAAGAGCGACUGCAAGAAGCUCCUUAUGAGUCUUUAGAAAAAAUCAAGGACUCAAGUAAGAUUGUAACGACAGCAGGAAAUUGC
This 145-nucleotide small RNA is filed under the name Flavobacterium degerlachei. RNAcentral describes it as "Flavo-1 RNA". It matches the Rfam family "Flavo-1 RNA". The record is from RNAcentral. Lineage: Bacteria; Pseudomonadati; Bacteroidota; Flavobacteriia; Flavobacteriales; Flavobacteriaceae.